UACGUAGGGGGCGAGCGUUGUCCGGAUUUAUUGGGCGUAAAAGGCUUGUAGGUGGCCACGCCAAGUCGGAUGUGAAAUCUCCCGGCUCAACUGGGAGGGGUCAUUCGAUACUGGCGGGCUCGAGGCAGGUAGGGGGAAGCGGAAUUCCCGGUGUAGUGGUGGAAUGCGUAGAUAUCGGGAGGAACACCAGUGGCGAAGGCGGCUUCCUGGACCUGUUCUGACACUGAGGAGCGAAAGCGUGGGGAGCGAUCCGG
This 254-nucleotide ribosomal RNA is filed under the name uncultured bacterium. Its description in RNAcentral is "partial 16S ribosomal RNA". It matches the Rfam family "Bacterial small subunit ribosomal RNA", at positions 524 to 776 of the family's 1533-position model. The record is from RNAcentral.